GACGAACGCUGGUGGCGUGCUUAACACAUGCAAGUCGAACGAAGUGGCGAACGGGUGAGUAACGCGUAAUCAACCUGCCCUUCAGAGGGGGACAACAGUUGGAAACGACUGCUAAUACCGCAUACUGAAGGAGGGGAUUGCGUCGAAUUCGCAGGCUGGAGGGGUAACGGCCCACCAAGGCGAUGAUCAGUAGCCGGUCCUGUGGGAGGGACGGCCACAUGGGGACUGGGAAACGGCCCAGACUCCUACGGGAGGCAGCAGUGGGGAGUUGUCCGACAUGGACGAAAGUCUGGCGGAGCAACGCCGCGUGAGUGAUGACGGCCUUCGGGUUGUAAAGCUCGGUUAAUCGGGACGCGGUACCGGAAUAGAAAGCCACGGCUAACUACGUGCCAGCAGCCGCGGUAAUUC
RNAcentral lists this ribosomal RNA (408 nucleotides) under uncultured bacterium. RNAcentral's name for it is "partial 16S ribosomal RNA". It matches the Rfam family "Bacterial small subunit ribosomal RNA", at positions 28 to 526 of the family's 1533-position model. The record is from RNAcentral.